CAGAGCUCAUCCCCUCCUGCAGGAAAGCAUUCGUGGGAACUGCUCAGCCACUGCCAAACUUUCUCUUGGUGCAAAACUUCUUCCCUGUUGCUCCUUCGUGUCAGCAUUUAGUUUAUAUUUUGUUCAUCUGAAAAAAAAAAAAAGAAAAAAAAAAAGCAGCGGCCUCCAAACCAUUUCCUCUUUCUGCGAGACGCGCUGCUGAGCCAGGAGACAAACACAGCUUGUGGGGUUUGACAAACUCUGACCGUGCAUCUCCCUCGGGUUGGGUUUAGUGGGGGUGAAAUCCUGCUGCACUGAAAGCCAGAGCAUCGGUGCGGAAGAGGUUGCAUGCCAGGCCGGCGAUGGAGACCCUGCCAAGACAAAUGGCCGUGCUUCCUACAAAGAAAAAGAAUUUCUGAAUUUCUUCGGAGUGGCCAAGCAGAAGAGCCCAUCAUGGGCGUGGGGUUGCACACCCAGAGAGCCCUUUGUUCCAGGCUGCCAAGCAGAUGGAGACCAGUUCUGGCCCCAAGCUCAGGAUGCCCAGGAGUUUCAUGCAUACCCAAGGACAAAGGCUGGCAAGCGAUGAAAGGACUCCUGCACUUGUUUACUGCACCGGCGUCUACACGCAUUACGUCGGAGAGGAUGGAAGCUGCUGUCAUCGGCUGAGAUGGACACAACACUCCUGAGCUCAGCCUUGUCAUAUGAAAGAUGCCCAUGUAAGGAUGGAGCCAGAGAUGAUGGCAGGGAAGAAGCCGUGUCCCUUUUGCCGAGGAGCACCCUGCCCUCCGCAUCCCAUCAGCCACAGCCUUGGCAGAGGGAACUUGUCCUCGGUGCUUUGGGGAUCCCUAAAUCACAUCAGGGCUGACAGGGAGAAUUUGAACGGAUAUCGUCAAAUUUUGCUGUCAUUGUCAAUUAGUCUUUAUAGCUGGUGCCGGCAUUCCCAGCUUCCGGCAAUUCCCUGGCAGCCUGAAGACUUAAUGUCGUCCUUGGCUGAUUGUGGUAGGGAUUGAUUAGCCUGGGUUGGGGUUUUCCAUGGGGGUCUGGCUGUGGGAUUUCAGCUUUGGUGACAGAAAUGGUCAUUUUGUGCUCUCUGUGUGCUAUUUCCACCCUGCUGGAUGGAAAUCUGCCGCGUACCUGUGAGCUGUUGGAGAGGAGUUCUGAUUUUAAGCUUGGUUUUUUUCCUCUUAAAAAUCAGAGCUGCUGCAGGCAGCAGAAGGUAUUAAAGAUUAAUUUUCACGAGCACACAUGAAAUUCAAACCAGCUGGUAUCUGAAGUGCCUCCCUGUGCAAGAUGUCUGUGUUGCAUCUUCCAUUAACUGUUGCGUGGACCAGUGUGAGUAUAGUACUUCUUGGCUGGUGAUGAAGACACAUUUGGCACCCUCUUGCUUUGGGCUGGCAGCAACAUCCAUGGGCACAGCUGAAGAUGCGGGGGACCGAGGCGAUGGGCAGCUGUGCCCCUGGUUUGCAACGCAGUGCUAAAGCAGCGAGGCAGCUUUUUUCCCGCAGCGGAACUUCAAGCACUUUACAGAAGGUUAAAUGUCAGCUCUGGCUUUUACACCCGGGGGAAACGGGUCAUGGAGCAGGACGGGGAUGUCCCAGGGUCAUCUGGCAUCCGAGGGACACCGUUCAGGGCCGGGUCAGUGCUCUGGCCAUUAGCUGCCUCUGAUACAAAAAGGGCAUCCUCCAAGGCAUGGAGGAUGCCUUGGGGGUUAGUUGGGCAGAGAUACUCCUUUCCUGGCUGUAUCAAAGACAUCUGCUCUAAGAGCUCCUGGGAGCUGCUGGUGGAUACCAGUGGCCCCUGGGGACGCAGCGGAGGGGAGGGUUUCCAGGGCUCUGCAAGGCACCAAGCACAGCACUCCGUGCUGCUACCAUCGUGCUGGCUGGCUAGCAGAGGCAAAUAAUCCUCCAGAUUUGGCAGGGCUGUGAGCAAUCCGGGUCCUGCCCAGGGGAUACUGCCACAGAGGUUAUUUGAACUACCUGAGGAUUAUUUGAUUUUAUUUUUGCACUUUCUUUUUUUUUCUAAGCCUAGACUAUGUGGAACUCAGACUAAACAGAAAAUACAGCUAAGAAAACAUCUUGGUAUAAUGCUGGGAGUCAGCCUGUUGCAGCGCGCUUCUGAAAUCCAAUUGUGGUUGUAAGCUGAUCCCAGAAACCAAAAGAUUACAACUCUAAGGCAGUUCACAAAUACCAGAGCAUUAAGGCAGGCAUCUUGGUUACUGAGGCCCAAAUGAUUUUCAGGGUCCGUUUGGGGAAGAGGUGGCACCAGGCGUUCAGCAUCUCCGCGUGCAUUGACGCGUGAGCGAUGCGCACUGGAUGCCGACUCAGCGUCUUGGAAAUGUAGGUAGCGGCUGCUGACUUGGGAAUUUCUUUUGUGUGACCCAUCGCGGUCUGUGCAGCCUGGUGUCCCCCCUCAAAAUGAAGGCAACCUCUUCCACUCUAAUGCUCUAAUUUAUAUUAUAUAUAAAAAAUAGAAAUAUAUAUUUAUAGAAAAAUAUAUGCUUAUAAUAUAUUAAAAUAUAUUAAUAUAAAAAUAUUACAGAUUUUAUAUCUCUAUAUAGAUUAUGUAUCUAUAAUAUUAUAUAUCCAGAUCUAGGUAUCUCAUAUAAUCUCUAAAUAUUGUAUAUGUGUAUUAAAUCACACCAAACACUCUGAUGACUUACUGUUUACCUCCUUUGGGCUGUAUCUGUUAUUCUGCUUUCCCCUCCUAGCUAAACCUCGGUCCUUUAUUCCCCUCAUAAAUUUUCUGUUUCAAUGACCGUCUCUUUACAUGUUCAAUAGGCUUAACUGAUAAUUGCCUCUUAAUGCUAGUAAUCCAUUAGCCAAGUGUUCAAAUUAAGAGGGAGGAAAAUAGUGGCAUCACCUGUGCCACGGCCAGCAGAGGACCACCCCUUCUGUUUAGAGAGAAGCUGAUGGUAGCACAUCUGCCACUGCAGUGGCUUUGACUUGAAUGACUUCUCCACGCCGAAUGCAAGAGGGAUUAAUCAAUUCUUUACUGUAAUUCAUAAAAGAUGAGUGCCACCAUUAAGUCUGGGGUUUGUAUACUUCGCUUCUGGCACUUCUGCCUUUGGAGUUUUCUCCAUUUCUGGGGUGUUUCGGGGAUCCCAGCUGAAAUUGGAUGCAUAGAAGUUAGCAGAUAUAAAAUGUUGAUGAAAUCCUUUUCGCUGCCUAGGAUUGAGCGUAUCCCAAAGAGCAUGGAAGACUGGAUGUGUCAAAAAUGGAGGCAUAAGCAUAGGGCAAGGAACCCAAUCUCCUUGAGGAUACCCACGGGCUGAAAUGCCCCAUUGCUGGAUUUACUUUACAGCUCCAAAUUCAGCUACUAAGUCCAUCCCAUACCUCUGAGGAGGAUGAGCUGAUUGAGCAUAGGCUUAAGUGAUAAUAUUUUUGCCCUGCAACGCUGUCGGUAUCAAGUGCUAAAAUUUCCUGAUUUUGAAGAGCUGAGUUUUAGGACAAAAAUCCUGCUUAUGUGGAAGACAAUGGCAAAACUCCCACAAACCCCCAGUGAUGCCUCCCCAGAGUUUUUUCUUUCUCCAAGGUGAUGAGCAGUCACAACCCAGGAGAAAAUUAACAUGAGCUGGGCAACUUUGACAUGUUCAGAAAUGAAGUUCGAGGUGUCCUGAACAAGAAACCCAAUAAAACAGCACCUAAAGGCAGAGAGUACUUUUCACCCUUCAUAUUUUUUUUUAAAUAGCUGGUUCUGGCCUGACGGACGCAUUCCUGGGAAAUCCUGGGAUCCUGCCUCUGCCUAGCUGAAAGGCAAUUUCUAUUUAUAUUUUGUAAGAGGAGAAUGAAUCAGAGAGAUGCUGUCUGUUUGGUUUCUUAGGCUGAUCUUCAGCAUUUCAAGGGUCAUGAAACAUUGCAACAUUACAGCCCAAGAAAUUGUUCGAUUGCAGCUAAAUGCAUCACACUAGCUUAGUCUGGGCAUGUAGCUCGGACAGCCGCUCCAUUUGUACCACAUCAUUGUGAGUGAGUAAAUUGGAGGCGUCUUUUUGCUUUGCAAAGCCUGUGUCAUCGCUUUCGGUCCCCCCCCCACCGUGAUGAGUAGCUGCAAACUCAACUUCUUCACGCAGAUCUCCUGAACUUGGAGAGGACGAUGCUGCAGAGUCAAACUGCGAAUGUGGUUUGAGUUACUGUUUGAGACAGCAGGACGGCUCUCAACCUGCCCAGCACUAGCAAAAAAGUCUGUAUACGUUUUCACUCUGCUGGGAGACAGGUCCUGGUUUGCAAGAUAUUUUCCAGACUCGGUUAAACUGCUUUCCAAAUGCACAGUGUGUUUCCGCAAGACAAGCAGCCUUCUCUGUAACAGGCUGGACCAAAUAGCUGAUGAUCUGAAAUCAAUUCGCCACGGAUGGUUUUAAGGCUGGCGUUCAGGUCAUUUCCAGGCAGCUGCACAUUGUUGUAAUUUGCUAACGGUGUCACAAACGCUACUUUUUCCUUUCCUUGUAACAGCUCCUCUGAAUUACAAUAACUCCUUUAAUUUCUGAACAAGUCCUUGCCACCUCAAAGAGCAGCAAGAGCACCUCCCCUUCGCAAUUUCCCUUUCCCUCUUAACCUUGACCUGUAAAAUGCUGAAAGCUGUUACUGAGAACUACCUUGAUCAGAAAUGACGUUAUAAAAACUUGCUCAACCAGAUGCAGCAAAAAUCCAGCUGUGACAAAGAUUCCCUGAGCCAACAAUUUUGAGUUACGGAGCUACCCUGCCUUGGAAUAUGGAGUCGGCCGCUGCAAGGCCAUUAGUGCUUAUUCUUCCCAAAAUUUACUACUGAAAAUGACUCUGCCUCCUCCCUUCCUCUCGCUUGAUGGAUGGCUACAGAGUGACCCUCCAGGAUUUAUAUCUCCAGUGGCGGAGAAGGACUCCUCUCCUAUCUUAAUCCCCUCAAGGCCAUAGUAAAAUAAAGCCGUUGUCUUUAAAUCUAGAUCUGUUACAACCUCUGCCUCAAAGCAGCGAUAUUCUCCACCUCGCUCGAGUUCAGCUGUAGUUGCGUUCACAGCUCUAUCCCAGAAAGUGCAGGAAUGAACUUUCAAAGACGCUUCAUUUUUCACUAGGGAUUUUAGAAACUUGUUACGUUGCCUCAUGGUACGCUAGCUAGACAUAUAUUUAUCUUCUUUAGUUUUCGUUUGCCUUCUUUAUUUUUCUUUCAUUUUUAAUAUUUUCUUAUGCAUCUAAUACAAAGGCCAUUCACUUCCCAAUCAGACAGAGGGGAAAGUUUCUCCUUCCCCUCUUUAAUUUAGACCUAUAUCACCAAUUCCUUUUGUGGUUUGCUGUUUGGGCAAAAAAAAGUGGAAAAAAAAAAAAAAGGAAAUUGGUGAGCAGAACACCUGUCCUGGAUUUUUUUGUUUGCUGUUUGGAUUCUUAAUAAUUUUAACUCUCUUUGGCUGUUAAAUUUUAGAAAAAAAUCCCAAAUAAUUAAAAAAUUAUCAUUCAACGUGAGAGUUAAUGGAGUAAAUGUUCUUCUCUUCCACUGGUAUGAAAUAUAAAAUCGAUGCGAAUGAAAAAUUCCUAUACCCAGAUCCUAAAAUGUUGAUGUUUGGCAGAUAAAUAGUUUAUCUGCCUGACAGAUAGUUUUUCCUGGCUGCAUGUGGGAGUUUCCACUUGACGGGGUGGCAGCUGGUAGCUCCUUCCAUUUGUCAGGCGUGACCGAGGAAGACUGUGGUCCAGCGAUGAAGAAGCUGUGGGAUGGAGGAACCCUCCUAGGAGGCAUCGUUGCCACCAUCGCUCUUCCCAGCCAAGACCCGGAGCCUUGGUCUUGCCCUGCCCCAUGGGACCCACAGAGAUCCCAUCUCACCUGCUCGAAUGGAGGAUGUUGGAGAGGUUUGUAAAUGCUGUGGCCGGGCCCAUCUGAGCAAACAUCACCCUGGGUCUUGCUUGGGCACCAGGCUGGGAGAAGAUAUCUCCUGUGCUCCUCCCAGGCUUGCAAGGCUGGGACAGGGAGGCUGUGACUCCACUCUGACCACGGGAGACGUGUUAAUAUUAGAAGAUGGGCUUAAGCAUGGGGAAAAUGAACUUGAACGUGAGUUUGGCGUGUUUUCUUUGGAGCCCUGCCCUAGCACUGCCCCUGCGUGGUGUGGAGCUUGCAGGGCUGCCGGACGUGAAGGCAUGAGUGGCUGUUUCCUAGCCCAGGCUCCCUCCUGGUCAGAGAGUUUAUUUCUGGGUUGUUUCAGCCAGUCACCUCCGAGAGGUGUUUCCUCCCCUCUUUCCCUUGCGAGGAGCAAAAGGGGAGUGAGGAGAGGCAGCGGCUCCAGAGGUGGGCUUCAGAAAUAGCCAGAAGCCCGCUUGGGAGGUGGGAAAUCAGGGCGCUGACUCUGAUCACCGAAUGUAGAGUCGCUGCCAAUUUACAACUUUUUCCCUUAAAUGUAGGAGCUGAAGAUUUAAUGGAAAGAGAGGUCAGGCUUUGACCUGACCACUGAGCAGGGUGACAGAGAUGGCUCCUUCAUGUCCUCUCGAGGGGUUUGUUAGUCUAAAGUUUAGUCCCAACGUCAGAUGAUGCAUUUUCCAGGGAAGCUAAUGGAUUCGCUUGCACGGCGAUGGAGUGGUUGGCGGGGGUGGGAGGGUGACUUUCGUGAGAGACAAAUGACUUCCUCUCAACAAGCAGCUCUGUUUUAACUAGAAAAUGAUGGAUGACUCUCAAGUAAAGACUUGCGCAGGCAAACUAACAUGCAAACUUCACGCUGUCAGAGAUCCAAAACACAACAAAAAUCCAAACUACCAAUGAAAAACCGAAACCCCACGGUGGUGGUCAGGGAUGUGAAUUGGUCUAUAGAGGGAGACUUUGGGUCAAGUCUCCUACGUCACCCACCACGCAAGAGCACAUGGACAGACGCCAAAGGGAGAAGCUUGAGCUUCGGAGGCCUUCAUAGAAGCGGGGUUAUGGGUUCAUCUCCAAAAGAUCCCCGCUCAAGUUAAACCAAAGCCUUCCUGUGGCAUGGGGAACAACAGCCUUAUCCUUCCGCCCCUGCCGUUGUCCCUUCCAGACUAUUGUUUUGAUUUUACUUGGCAUCCUCCAGCGUAGCAGCAAAACUUGGCCACCAUGUUUCACCAAAUGUUUCCCUCACAUUUUUCUUCUGUGCUUACCUUUACAAAAGAAAAAGCUUUUUUUUUUUUUUAAAAAAAUAUGUAUAUAUAAAUACUUGGCAAGUACUGGGCACAGUGGCUGCAUCCAAGUUCCUGUUGUUAGUUCAGGGCACUUCUGUAUCUCGAUGAUGCAUCUGGGAGCCCAAAUCCAGCCUUUGGACUCCACUGCGCUGGGCGCGGUACGGCUGCGGACAGAAAAGUUGGAGCGAGGAGCUGCAAUUAAGGACUGGAAGUUCCCCGUGCAGGGAUGUGAAGAUGAAAGGCAACUGUAGCCUCCUGUCAAUGUAAGAUCCUAACUGGGAAUGGCCUUGAGAGCUGCUGGAGUAGGACCUCGGGAGAAACCAUCUCAGGGAGGGGAAGAGUUAGGGAUGAUGAGCUGGAGGGAAGGCAGGUCCUUGCCACCAGGACUGGCUGGAGAAACAGCAUGGAAGCAAGGGGUUUGCUUGAUCCUAGACAAUUUUGGUGCUUGGAUAAAGCUCCAGCUGGAAAGACCAUCUGUGUCAAAAGGCAAAAUCUUAACUUGGGACCUUGUGCAAUGCCCCAGAGAGCGACGAGAGCAGCGGGAGGCUGUGCCCAAAGGGGACAAGCACGCUGCCUUGCCGUGGGCACCGAGCAUCCUGACAAGGGCAAUCACUGCACGUGGUUCCCGCAGUCCGUUCCUCUGCUUUCCCCUCCACAGCCCCAGAUAAAGCCCGGGAUGUUUAUAGACCUUAAUACAAUAGUUCCCACAACGGCCAGGCAAUAUGUGAAGACGUAAGCCGCCUGGCUGGCUCUUCUUGGACAUUGGAAAGCUUCCAUAGCUCAGGCCCCGUUGUCAGCUCUCCUUAUCGUUUCACUGCUGAGAUCCAGGGAUCUGAUCUAUUUUUACUGAUGGGUUUUUUGUACCUGUGGCAGGGCGGGGGAGAUAAAUAAGUGCGCUGCCUUCUGUGACUGAGUUUAGGGUCAUUUUGUUGUUUAAUCCUGGAAUGCCUCUUGCCUGCCUGCUUCAAGUGUAGCUAUGCCCGUUCAUUUCCAGAAUUAAUUGCCCAUCUUCUUGAUUGCAAGCAGGAUGGCUGAGAUUGUAGGUUAUUUUCUUACGCAACUGUUAAGUGUGGUCUUUGCAAGGGAAAGGCCAAUGGCAGUGCUGAAGAUGUAGGCUUGAUUUAUAGAUAUUAAACAUU
Non-coding RNA from Phalacrocorax carbo (great cormorant), 8206 nucleotides. NCBI's taxonomy places the organism in Eukaryota, Metazoa, Chordata, Aves, Suliformes, Phalacrocoracidae. The record is from RefSeq and is a predicted model, not a curated record.